This 290-nucleotide small nuclear RNA is filed under the name Peromyscus maniculatus bairdii (prairie deer mouse). RNAcentral describes it as "7SK RNA (ENSPEMG00000003859.2)". It matches the Rfam family "7SK RNA". Rfam says of the family: 7SK was discovered as an abundant small nuclear RNA in the mid-70s but a possible function has only recently been suggested. The record is from Rfam by way of RNAcentral. Lineage: Eukaryota; Metazoa; Chordata; Mammalia; Rodentia; Cricetidae.
GGAUGUGAGGGUGAUCUGUCUGUGAUACACGCCCCUCAGUGAUCACUGGCUGAGUGUCUCCUUCUUCCCUUACACGUUCACACGUGCCUAUCCUGAAACUCAGCACUCAGUUGAAGAGGAUGACCCUCCCUGGACAGAAAAGGACCCAGACUUCAAUCAAGGGCAUAUAAGUAGCUGUGCCCUCUACUAGGACUACCAGACAAGCUUUCAAGGUUCAAAUACACCACUGGCCUAAACAACCCUCUUUCCUACCCCGACCUCUCCACUGACAUUAGAGUCUGUGUGCCUCU